Molecule: small nucleolar RNA, 56 nt
Filed under: Leishmania braziliensis MHOM/BR/75/M2904
Lineage: Eukaryota; Euglenozoa; Kinetoplastea; Trypanosomatida; Trypanosomatidae
Source: RNAcentral
CGAUGAUGAUGCACGAGUUAAUCCAUUCUCUGAGUCUCUGUGUGUGUGUCUGUGUG